CCGGAAUAACUUUCAGGUCUGGAUCGGAAAUAUCAGUAAUCGCAGAUGCAACUGUAGUCUUCAAUACCACCUCAAUCAAUUACUUCAUCAUCCAUGACUUAUUUGUUAGGCAUGCCAACAAAAUCGAACCCCACACUCUCCAAAUUGAUGUGGAGUAUACAACAAGAGACAAAAUAAAAUAAGUUGCAGUACCACCACAACCUGAAACUACAA
Scomber japonicus (chub mackerel) is the source of this 213-nucleotide long non-coding RNA. RefSeq lists it as uncharacterized. The transcript is spliced from 3 exons. NCBI's taxonomy places the organism in Eukaryota, Metazoa, Chordata, Actinopteri, Scombriformes, Scombridae. The record is from RefSeq and is a predicted model, not a curated record.